Molecule: long non-coding RNA, 412 nt
Organism: Mauremys reevesii (Reeves's turtle)
Lineage: Eukaryota; Metazoa; Chordata; Testudines; Geoemydidae
Exons: 4
Source: RefSeq, a predicted model, not a curated record
CUUUCUGAAACCAGCACAGGAAAAAGCUUGCUGCUUAAAUCCUCUCUUCUUCACCAGUAAAGGGGGAUUAAACCAGCCUCUCAGGUCUCUGACUUCACUGCUGACCCCUGAGAGGACAGAGGAGCUGCUGGCUAUCUACCCCAGGGAGACGGAGGACACCCAGCGAGCUGAGGUCAAAAGUAGAUGUGGGCCACUCUGAAUCACAAAAGAACAAUAAGCUGAAGAUCUUGGAGACCAACCUCAUCCCUAAUGCUAACAUUUGAGUACACUGUAUGAGCAGGCUUCUGCAGGAAGACUAAAGUAGUCCUCAUUCACUAGACUGAUGAAGAAGUCACUGUCUAUCACUUGUGCCUCCAAGGAGUGAGUCAACAAUGGUGUUUAAAAAAAAAUAAAUUCGCUGUUUCUGAACUGA